AACGAACGCUGGCGGCAGGCCUAACACAUGCAAGUCGAACGCUCUAGCAAUAGAGAGUGGCGCACGGGUGCGUAACGCGUGGGAAUAUGCCCUUGACUACGGAACAACGUCGGGAAACUGACGCUAAUACCGUAUAAUGUCUUCGGACCAAAGAUUUAUCGGUCAAGGAUUAGCCCGCGUCUGAUUAGCUAGUUGGUGAGGUAACGGCUCACCAAGGCGACGAUCAGUAGCUGGUCUGAGAGGAUGAUCAGCCACACUGGGACUGAGACACGGCCCAGACUCCUACGGGAGGCAGCAGUGAGGAAUAUUGGACAAUGGAGACAACUCUGAUCCAGCCAUGCCGCGUGAGUGACGAAGGCCUUCGGGUUGUAAAGCUCUUUCAGAUGCGAAGAUAAUGACGGUAACAUCAGAAGAAGCCCCGGCUAAAUUCGCGCCAGCAGCCGCCGUAA
This 449-nucleotide ribosomal RNA is filed under the name uncultured bacterium. RNAcentral's name for it is "partial 16S ribosomal RNA". It matches the Rfam family "Bacterial small subunit ribosomal RNA", at positions 29 to 523 of the family's 1533-position model. The record is from RNAcentral.